GGGUAGGACAACCCGCUAGACUUAAGCAUAUU
Molecule: ribosomal RNA, 32 nt
Filed under: Tulasnella calospora
Lineage: Eukaryota; Fungi; Basidiomycota; Agaricomycetes; Cantharellales; Tulasnellaceae
Description: partial 25S ribosomal RNA
Source: RNAcentral